GCGGCCGCUCCGGUUGAUCUUGGCGGAGGUCACUGCUAUCGGUGUUCGAUUAAGCCAUGCGAGUCGAGAGGCGUUAUGGCCUCGGCGGACUGCUCAGUAACACGUGGAUAACCUACCCAAGAGUCCGGGAUAACCCCGGGAAACUGGGGAUAAUACCGGAUAGAUCAAACAGGCUGGAAGGCGGUUUGGUUGAAACUUCCGGGGCUUUUGGAUGGGUCUGCGGCUGAUUAGGUUGUUGCCGGUGUAAUGUACCGUCAAGCCUGUAAUCAGUACGGAUUGUGGGAGCAAGAGCCCGGAGAUGGAUUCUGAGACACGAAUCCAGGCCCUACGGGGCGCASAGGCGCGAAAACUCUACAAUGCAGGCAACUGCGGUAGGGGAACAUCGAGUGAUCCUCAUAUUGGGGGUCUGUCCACUCGCCUAAAAAGCGGGUGUUAGCAAGGGCCGGGCAAGACCGGUGCCAGCCGCCGCGGUAACACCGGCGGCUCGAGUGGUAACCGCUAUUAUUGGGUCUAAAGGGUCUGUAGCCGGCCGGAUAAGUCUUUUGGGAAAUCCAGCUGCUCAACAGUUGGGCUUCCAGAAGAUACUGUUCGGCUCGAGACCGGGAGAGGUGAGAGGUACUUCAGGGGUAGGGGUGAAAUCUUGUAAUCCUUGAAGGACCACCAGUGGCGAAGGCGUCUCACCAGGACGGAUCUGACGGCAAGGGAUGAAAGCUAGGGGCACGAACCGGAUUAGAUACCCGGGUAGUCCUAGCCGUAAACGAUACUCGCUAGGUGUCAGCCACGGUGCGACCGUGGUUGGUGCCGUAGGGAAGCCGUGAAGCGAGCCACCUGGGAAGUACGGCCGCAAGGCUGAAACUUAAAGGAAUUGGCGGGGGAGCACUACAACGGGUGGAGCUGCGGUUUAAUUGGAUUCAACGCCGGAAAGCUUACCGGGACCGACAGCGAUAUGAAGGCCAGGCUGAAGACCUUGCCGGAUUAGCUGAGAGGAGGUGCAUGGCCGUCGCCAGUUCGUACUGUGAAGCAUCCUGUUAAGUMAGGCAACGAGCGAGAC
RNAcentral lists this ribosomal RNA (1051 nucleotides) under uncultured archaeon. RNAcentral's name for it is "bacterial SSU rRNA". It matches the Rfam family "Archaeal small subunit ribosomal RNA", at positions 1 to 1051 of the family's 1478-position model. The record is from RNAcentral.